This 340-nucleotide ribosomal RNA is filed under the name uncultured Rhodoferax sp. RNAcentral describes it as "bacterial SSU rRNA". It matches the Rfam family "Bacterial small subunit ribosomal RNA", at positions 1037 to 1382 of the family's 1533-position model. Lineage: Bacteria; Pseudomonadati; Pseudomonadota; Betaproteobacteria; Burkholderiales; Comamonadaceae. The record is from RNAcentral.
GGUGCUGCAUGGCUGUCGUCAGCUCGUGUCGUGAGAUGUUGGGUUAAUCCCGCAACGAGCGCAACCCUUUGUCAUUAGUUGCUACAUUCAGUUGGGCACUCUAAUGAGACUGCCGGUGACAAGCCGGAGAAGUGGGGAUGACGUCAAGUCCUCAUGGCCCUUAUAGGUGGGGCUACACACGUCAUACAAUGGCUGGUACAAAGGGUUGCCAACCCGCGAGGGGAGCCAAUCCCAUAAAGCCAGUCGUAGUCCGGAUCGUAGUCUGCAACUCGACUACGUGAAGUCGGAAUCGCUAGUAAUCGUGGAUCAGAAUGUCACGGUGAAUACGUUCCCGGGUCUU